This 464-nucleotide ribosomal RNA is filed under the name uncultured bacterium. RNAcentral describes it as "partial 16S ribosomal RNA". It matches the Rfam family "Bacterial small subunit ribosomal RNA", at positions 28 to 506 of the family's 1533-position model. The record is from RNAcentral.
GAUGAACGCUGGCGGCGUGCUUAACACAUGCAAGUCGAACGGAAAGGCUCCUGCUUGCAGGGGUACUCGAGUGGCGAACGGGUGAGUAACACGUGGGUGAUCUGCCCUGCACUUCGGGAUAAGCCUGGGAAACUGGGUCUAAUACCGGAUAGGACGAUGGUUUGGAUGCCAUUGUGGAAAGUUUUUCGGUGUGGGAUGAGCUCGCGGCCUAUCAGCUUGUUGGUGGGGUAAUGGCCUACCAAGGCGUCGACGGGUAGCCGGCCUGAGAGGGUGUACGGCCACAUUGGGACUGAGAUACGGCCCAGACUCCUACGGGAGGCAGCAGUGGGGAAUAUUGCACAAUGGGCGCAAGCCUGAUGCAGCGACGCCGCGUGGGUGAUGACGGCCUUCGGGUGGUAAACUCCUUUCGUCAGGGACGAAGCGAAAGUGACGGUACCUGGAUAAGAAGCACCGGCUAACUACGU